UGAAUACGAGAUGCUACGGCGUCGAAGCAGUCUAUGUCAUACUUCCAAGAAAAGCUUGCACUGUCAUAAACAAAUAAUGCCUGUACCAUAACCGACACAGGUGGGUAGGUAGAGUAUACUAAGGGGCGCGAGAUAACUCUCUCUAAGGAACUCGGCAAAAUGACUCCGUAACUUCGGGAGAAGGAGUGCCUUAUUUAUAAGGUUGCAAUAACAAGACCCAAGCAACUGUUUAUCAAAAACACAGGUCUCCGCUAAGUCGUAAGACGAUGUAUGGGGGCUGACGCCUGCCCAGUGCCAGAAGGUUAAAGAAGUUGGUUAGCAUUAGCGAAGCUGAUGACUGAAGCCCUGGUGAACGGCGGCCGUAACAAUAACGGUCCUAAGGUAGCGAAAUUCCUUGUCGGGUAAGUUCCGACCCGCACGAAAGGCGUAAUGAUUUGGGUACUGUCUCAGAGAGGGACUCGGUGAAAUAGACUUGUCUGUGAAGAUGCGGACUACCUGCACCUGGACAGAAAGACCCUAUGAAGCUUUACUGUAACCUGAAAUUGAAAUUGGACUUUAUUUGCGCAGUAUAGGUGGGAGGCUUUGAAGAUAUUCUUGCGGGAAUGUUGGAGCCAUCAGUGAGAUACCACUCUUGUAAUGUUAGAUUUCUAACUUUGUAUCAUUAUCUGGUCAAAGAACAGUUUCAGGCGGGCAGUUUGACUGGGGCGGUCGCCUCCUAAACGGUAACGGAGGCGCACAAAGGUUUCCUCUGAACGGGUAGAAAUCGUAUCUAGAGUGUAAAGGCAUAAGGAAGCUUGACUGUGAGACCUACAAGUCGAGCAGGGACGAAAGUCGGUCUUAGUGAUCUGACGGUGCUGAGUGGAAAGGCCGUCACUCAACGGAUAAAAGUUACUCUAGGAUAACAGGCUGAUCUCCCCCAAGAGUUCACAUCGACGGGGAGGUUUGGCACCUCGAUGUCGGCUCAUCGCAUCCUGGGGCGGUAGUACGUCCCAAGGGUUGGGCUGUUCGCCCAUGAAAGCGGUACGCGAGCUGGGUUCAGAACGUCGUGAGACAGUUCGGUCCAUAUCCGGUGUAGGCGUUAGAAUAUUGAGAGGAGCCUUCUCUAGUACGAGAGGACCGAGAAGGACACACCUCUGGUGUACCAGUUAUCGUGCCAACGGUAAACGCUGGGUAGCUAUGUGUGGAGCGGAUAACCGCUGAAAGCAUCUAAGUGGGAAGCCCACCUCAAGAUAAGUAUUCUCAUC
RNAcentral lists this ribosomal RNA (1244 nucleotides) under metagenome. Its description in RNAcentral is "bacterial LSU rRNA". It matches the Rfam family "Bacterial large subunit ribosomal RNA", at positions 1564 to 2818 of the family's 2925-position model. The record is from RNAcentral.